CAUUGUUCCACUUCCACACACCACCAUCAUCAUCAUCAUAAAGUUGUGGUCUCUCUUCACUCUUCACUCUAAACUUCAAAAUCUUCUCUCUAUUUAGUUAUGACUGUUGGAAUCUCUGCCUCUAUAGCUAUGAAGCCUCUCCGUCUCCACCACCCCUUUUUCCAUCUCCACACUAAGCCAACACCAACCAUGUUCUUCAACCCCUUAAGACCUUUUACUCA
RNAcentral lists this long non-coding RNA (221 nucleotides) under Lupinus angustifolius (narrow-leaved blue lupine). Its description in RNAcentral is "long non-coding RNA (LANG_LNC003092)". The record is from RNAcentral. Lineage: Eukaryota; Viridiplantae; Streptophyta; Magnoliopsida; Fabales; Fabaceae.